GGAAAACAAUCUCUGUAGGUGUAGGUGUACGGCCAAUCGAAGGUAAAAAAGCAGGUCAGAAUCGAUCGUCGUGUAUCGGAAAGGAGAGUGAGGUCGAGAGAGUUUCACCGAAGGGAAGUUUCGAAAGGGGCGGCACUGUCGUCAUCGGCAUUCUAACCAAGCUCGUCCGCUUUUAAAUGAACGACCCCUCGACAACGAAAUCGUUUGCGUACGCGCUUAUGCGUAUGCAUGUAUUGCACGAACGUGCAUACGGACGAAUACCUUCUAGGUACGAAAGGAAGCCAACUUCCUUCCUACGUUCGAUGUCACGCGCACCACCGUUUAUAUAAUCCAUCCUGUGACGUCAGGCUGUUUAAUCCAUUCAUUACUGGAUCAUUGCGCGCUAUCUCUCUCUCUCUCUCUCUCUCUCUCUCUCUUUCUGCGUUAUGUAGAAGCAUGUAUCAGAGCGAAGGGAGGAACGACAAAGAACGCAUCGGAUACUGAAUGAUUCGUCAAAAAAUUUGCGAAAUAUAUUUUCACGUGUAGCCUGCUACGCGAGUGUACGAACAUAUGUACGGUGUAAUUCGAUUAAAAACCUGAUAUUGUUAUCAUAUUUCCAACGUUCUGAUAAAAGAACAUUUCUCACUUGUUGAUUGCCUAAUCACGACAGCCGCGAAUCUCUAGAUCUGUAGUAAUUUGAAAGUGUCCAAAUGUAUGUGCCAAUGCACACAUAAAUUACACUGUAACGGAUUCUAUCUUGGCCUACAGGAAAAUCAGUUGAGAUGGGAGGAAGCGUGUGCGUUGUGUGGUAACGACGAGUGGGCGGACACGUAUUCGAUACCGAUAGAACAAUUCGAAUGUUCGCUAACUGAAUCUCGUCGGUCGAUAGAGAACUGCGUUUAUCGCAACUUCCGCCGUAGCUUGGUACAAACGUUCCACUUUAUUAGAAUCACAAAAAUGUCAAAUAUAAACCAAGUGAACGUUUCCAUCUUGACAUUGUUUUAAACGCGAUGAGGAGUAUCAGAAUCGAGGUUUCUCGAGUUUCGCAACGUCCGGUAUUCCGGAACGGUCGAACGAGGGUUUUCCUCGAUCGACGCUCGCGAAGAGGAACACGAGGCCAGCGAAUAGACUUAAAGAGUCGCGGUUGCACGCACACCGCUCCGAACGAUAACGAGAGAAGUAGAAGCGGAACGUUGGCGGAAUAACGAUCGUUUUCCGUGCAACCGUAUCUUCGUGUGCCCUCUCAGGACAAAACUUAUUCCGAUGUGGUCACCUCUGACGUAAACGUGCUCUCUGCCACUCGAUAAGAAUUCUGACGCCGCGCAUUCAGAGCCACGGACGAGGGAAAGGGGAAGCCUAGCGCGAAGGGGAAAGGGGCUGACCAACGGAAUCGGAUAUCGAUACGAGCAGUAAAGAUUACGAAACUGAACUACGCUAAUAGCAAAUCGUCCAUGCAAUGAUCUUCGACUAUGAGAAGAAAUAAACUAAAUCGCAUACCUACGUCAUGUUUUCGCUUCGUAACGGCUAAAUUCGAUGUUUACGCAAAUUUAUAUUUUAACAAACGUAACCAGAGGUAUGGUACCUAUGCGUAUUGGGCUGGACUCGAAAUUCAACGAACGAGACUUUAAAUAGUUGAAGCAGUUGAGGAUGUUUGUAUCAGUAAAUUUUUUAAAAAUAAGCCGAGGUAUAGAAAAUUACAAUUUAAAGGAAGCAACAAUUCGUCAGAAACAUUUAAUCUAGAGAAAUAAUCGGUAAGCUGUUAAAAUUUUUAAGCGAUUUUACACAGCUGUAACACGUGGUAUGAUGGCGUAUUUCGAUACGAAGUAGAUUCGGACGGUCUCAUUCAGUCGCAACGAUGUGUAGCGGCUUGACGCUAAUCGCGUGUCACGUGUAGGACACGGUAACGCGUUUAAGCGAAUAGUAAUUUAGUGCGAGUGCGGGACAGAAGGUGAAGAAGGGUAAAAAGAGUGUGCUAAAGUUUGCACGGAUUCCUUUCAUUUUACUCGUGUCGGUAGAAUCUGAAAAGACCUGUUGCGCGUGCUGCUUUUCGUCGUUUCCUUUCAUGACGAUGCGUGGAUGUGGACACGCGAGCUCACGACGAUUUCCUGCGAAUGCACAUAUAUGUACACGUACGCUACAGGUAUUUACGCAACUAAGCAUUCGAGCUUGGCGCAGGUGGCGCUAUGACGCAAACGAUUUAUUGCUUAUUCGCCGUCUGUCUGAUAUCGAAACCGUCGUCUUUAAUACAAACAAUAACGAGCCUUUACGUUGUUUAAUUUCGUCUAUCAAUUUUGCAAACGAACGCGCCUAAUCGCCGUCGAACUUUCGUUAUCGUUGUGAAAUUUGAAGCGAUACGGGAAACGUUUAAACAAAUUCACAUUUUUGUGAAUAUAAGUCAAGAAAUGGAGUCUAAAUAAUGGCUUGUUUCACCUAUCACGUAUUAUCGCGAAUAGUCCGAAGACUUCUACUACAAAGUAUUGUAUAUGCGAGUGGCUUCGAUUUGUGAGCGGUUUCCGCGCAAAUGCUUGGAACAACGCAGCAAUAGAGUAGCAGUGACGUCAAGGAGAGAAAUCGAAAUGUAUGUGUACGAGCGUAGAAGAUUCGCACGGCAGAUUCGAGUGCGUUGACCCAGUUAUAGAACGAGCGAAAGAUAAACUUCUGGAUUAAC
Molecule: long non-coding RNA, 2647 nt
Organism: Bombus pyrosoma
Lineage: Eukaryota; Metazoa; Arthropoda; Insecta; Hymenoptera; Apidae
Exons: 3
Source: RefSeq, a predicted model, not a curated record